RNAcentral lists this transfer RNA (73 nucleotides) under Xanthocytophaga flava. Its description in RNAcentral is "tRNA-Met". It matches the Rfam family "tRNA". From Rfam's summary of the family: Transfer RNA (tRNA) molecules are approximately 80 nucleotides in length. Their secondary structure includes four short double-helical elements and three loops (D, anti-codon, and T loops). The record is from RNAcentral. Lineage: Bacteria; Pseudomonadati; Bacteroidota; Cytophagia; Cytophagales; Rhodocytophagaceae.
UGCAGGAUAGAGCAGAUGGUAGCUCGGUAGGCUCAUAAUCUACAGGUCGCGGGUUCAAAUCCCGCUCCUGCCA